RNA transcript from Myotis brandtii (Brandt's bat), 2679 nucleotides. It is a transcript of the gene named zinc finger protein 26, with no coding region annotated. The record is from RefSeq and is a predicted model, not a curated record. The transcript has 7 exons. Lineage: Eukaryota; Metazoa; Chordata; Mammalia; Chiroptera; Vespertilionidae.
AAGGUGCCUUCUUCCCGGGUACGUGCACGCGCGUUCCCAUGGCCACCGACGCUUGCAGACCUUGGUGCUGGGUGGAACUGCAGGAUGAUGGUGAAGGCGGCCGCUUCCUUCUGAAGAUAAAUGUGAGAGCUGCCACUGAGAGCUGUCACGUUAUCCAGGAAACUGCCAAGUCCGUAGAUCCUGGCUUCUCACACAUGAGCCUCCUCUGGCAGCAUAAGAAAGGAGUUCCUGGAGCCAAGAACCCAUUCCCAGCGUCCGAGACCCAGCCACGACCUCACACCAGAGCUCUGGGGCACGAGCGGAGGAAGCGCAGCAUAGAAAGAGCUCAGACUUGCUAAUCACCUCACACAGGGAACAGAAAAUGACCACGUUACAGGAGUCAAUCUCAUUUGAACACUUAUCUGUGGACUUCACCCAGAAGGAAUGGCAGCUGCUGGACCCCUGUCAGAAGGACUUAUACAAGGAUGUCAUGUUGGAGAACUACAGCAGCCUGGUGGCACUGGGGUAUGAAUUUAUGAAACCUGAUGUCAUUUUCAAGUUGGAACGAGGAGAAGCACCAUGGAUAGAAGAUGGAGAAGUUCCAAGUUCAGACUCUCCAGAACAAGACUUUCAAGUAAAUAGUCACAUGAUGUGGAACCAGGACAACCAAGGGAAGCCUAAAAAUACGAAACAAGAUUAUGAAUGUGAUGCAUUUGGAAAAAAUUUCAAUCAGAGCAUAAACUUUGUUCCUUUAAGGAAAUCAAACAAUGAAGGUGAUGUAGAUGGUUUAACUUUAAAACGUCAUUUAGAUUUACUUCUUCCAAAAGCUGAUUAUGGAAAAAUAGAACGAGAUGACUUAAAUGUAUUUGAUAAAUUGUUUCUCCAUACCAAGCCUGAGGAAACUGAUACUUGGUUAAAACACUAUGAGUGUGAUAAAUAUGAUAAUGUUAACUAUAAGAAGUCACAGAUUAUCAUCUAUCACAGAAACCGUUUAGGGGAGAAACUUUAUGAAUGCAGUGAAUGUAGGAAACGCUUCAGUAAGAAAUCCAGUCUCAUGAAGCACCAGAGCAGACAUAUAAGAGAGAUAGCGAUUGGCUGUGGUAAAUCUGACAAAACCUUUCCGCAGAAGUCACAGUUCAUUACACAUCACAGAACUCAUACAGGAGAGAAACCUUAUAAUUGUAGCCAGUGUGGGAAAGCCUUCUCCCAAAAGUCACAACUCACAUCCCAUCAGAGGACACAUACAGGAGAGAAACCAUAUGAAUGUGGGGAAUGUGGGAAAGCCUUCUCCCGGAAGUCACAUCUGAUAUCACAUUGGAGAACACACACAGGAGAAAAACCCUAUGUAUGCCAUGAAUGUGGGAGGGCCUUUAGUGAGAAGUCCAAUCUUAUUAAUCAUCAUAGAAUUCAUACAGGAGAGAAACCUUUUGAAUGCAGAGAAUGUAGGAAAGCUUUUAGCAGAAAGUCACAACUCGUUACACAUCACAGGAUUCAUACAGGAACGAAACCCUAUGGGUGUAGUGAUUGUAGAAAAGCCUUCUUUGAGAAAUCAGAGCUCAUUAGACAUCAGACAGUUCAUACUGGAGAGAAGCCCUAUGAAUGCAGUGAAUGUCAGAAAGCAUUCCGAGAGAGGUCGAGUCUCAUUAAUCAUCAGAGAACCCACACAGGAGAGAAACCUCAUGGGUGCAUUCAGUGUGGAAAAGCUUUCUCCCAGAAGUCACAUCUGAUAUCACAUCAGAUGACACACACGGGAGAGAAACCCUUCAUAUGCGUUAAAUGUGGGAGGGCCUUCAGCAGGAAAUCCCAGCUGGUUCGACAUCAGAGAACUCACACGGGAGAAAAGCCCUAUGAAUGCAGUGAAUGUGGGAAAGCUUUCAGUGAAAAAUUAAGCCUCACUAAUCACCAGAGAAUUCAUACAGGAGAAAAACCCUAUAUGUGCAGUGACUGUGGGAAAGCCUUUUGUCAGAAGUCACAUCUCAUAUCACAUCAAAGGACACACACAGGGGAGAAACCCUAUGAAUGCACCGAAUGUGGGAAAGCCUUUGGAGAGAAGUCAAGUCUUGCAACUCAUUGGAGAACCCACACGGGAGAAAAGCCCUAUGAAUGCAGGGACUGUGAAAAAGCCUUUGCCCAGAAAUCACAGCUUAAUACUCACCAGAGAAUUCACACAGGAGAGAAAUCCUAUGAAUGCAGUCUUUGUCAGAAAGCUUUCUUUGAGAAGUCAGAGCUAAUUAGACACCAGAGAACUCACACAGGAGAAAAACCGUAUGAAUGCAGUGAAUGUCAAAAAGCCUUCAGGGAGAAAUCAAGUCUCCUCAAUCAUCACAGAAUACAUACAGGAGAGAAACCGUUUGAAUGCAAUGAAUGUGGCAAAGCCUUCUCUCGGAAGUCACACCUGAUACCACAUCAGAGGACACACACAGGAGAGAAACCCUACGGGUGCACUGAGUGUAGGAAGGCAUUCUCUCAGAAGUCACAGCUGGUUAAUCACCAGAGAAUUCAUACCGGAGAGAAACCUUAUCAAUGCCAUGACUGUGGGAAAGCCUUCUCCCAAAAGGCACAGCUCAUUAACCAUCAUAGAACCCAUACCAUAAAGAAAUCAUAGACAUGAGGUUAAUAUAUGUCUUUGACAGAGACCUGACGUUACUGUACUUCAGGAAAUGCAGUAUGGUUGUUCCACAGACCUGGAGACAAUUCUAC